GAGCAACACGUUGCGCACUUUAGAGCAGCCCUCGACAUUUUCAUUUGUGUUCGGGACGUUUAUAAAUCUUCUCCUGGCUGCACUGGAAUCCUAUCUUAUGAUUGUGACCUGUAAAGAUUUUUAUUUUUCAGUAAUACUGGACAGAAUGUCACCAUCUAUCUGUCUGUGGGUGGUUUUUGGCACGCUAUUCCCACUUCUACUGGCGUUAGGGGCGGCUGAGUGUUCAGGGAAGGAGACGUUGCUGAAGUCGAUUCCCAGCAGGGGGACACCACCGACGGACUGUUUGAUGGAGUGCACUGGGAAGACAUACGUCAGAAAGUCUCUGCUUCAGGACAAUCGCAAUAUCCGGCUUAAAGAUUCCACAGAGGGAGACCUCGGGGAACACUGUUGGUCCACUGGGCUCCAGUGCAACAUUGGAGAGAGCUUACUGCGUGCCUAUGUUGUGCUGCCUGUGGAUAUAUCUGCAGCUGGACAUGAGCAGCUAGAAGUAAAAUCCACGGUCCCCACUGCCAGCACUCUGCACGUACAUGACAGCCCGACCACGAUAGAAGAGAGCUGCGGCCUCCGUUAUGACGUCACGCAACACUUUGGCACGCAGAAUGCAGGGACGUCGUUCUGCAUACAGGUUGUCACCCGGGAGGACGAACUCCUUCGGUGUCCUCCCUUUCUGGUCACUUUCUGGCAGAGAAAUCUAAACCAAUCCAACCAACAAGGUGGUGGGUGAAGAAUCAGUGGGAGAAGAAACGUUCAGAUCUUUAAUUUAGGGGGAAAAAAGUAUUAACAACAAAAUAGAAGUCCUGCAUUGAAAUGUUGCGUAAGUAAAACUAUGUAAACUGUACUAUAAGUAUUACAGGCUAAACUACUGAAUGCAGAAAAAUGCACUUCUGGUUCUUAUAUCACAUAAACAAGAUCAUUAGAUUAUUAUUAUUUAUAUAUUAAUGUACAAGCAGGAGUUAUUUGCUCUAGUUGGUUACAGCGAAGCUUAUUUUGACAGUUUUAUAAAAGCCUGACGAUGAUUCUCGUUACAGAUUUUUAUGUUUUUGAUUAACUGAUUGAUCAAUGGAGAGAAGUAGCCAUAGCCCAAUGCAAAAUCUUUACUUCUUUCACUCAGUUGUCCAAAUCAUCAGUCUAAGAAGCUGGAAAAAAAGAAUUGCAUUUCCAUUUUUACAUUAAAACUGACUUAAACUAUCUUUUUUCAUUUCCUCUUGGGGAGUUUGUUUUAUGACAAGCAUCACAUUUGAUAAGUUUUCCAUAUAUUUUAUAUUUUAAAAUCUUAAUUUGUAAAGCUACUAGUAAUAAAAGCUGUCAGAUUCAUGUCCUGAAGAAAAAAUAAAUAAAUAAAUACAUGUGUACAUAACCUAUCUAUUUCCUGUAGUGGACCAGAAGUAAAAAUUAAUUAAUAAAUUAAAUUAAUUUUUUUUUAAAGCAUUGUAAAGUGGAAAUACUCAAGUCCAAGAACUUUUCAGAACCAACAUAACCAUGGUGUUACUGAUGAGAUCAGCAAAGAUAGAUUCAAGUAAUUUCUGUGCAUUUGUAAAACAGAUUUGGAUUCAUUCUUCACCCCUCCUGCCUCUCAGAUUACCUGAGUGAACAGACGGCGGUUCUGAAUGCUUCCAGGUUUCACAAAGCAAAUUCACUUGUUGUUUAUCUGCCAUUCUGACAAAAUGCAUUUGUUGACUUUCCACAGUUGUCAGUCAAGCUACAAUAUAUGUGUGUGUGUGUGUGUGUGUGUGUGUGUGUGCACUAGAUACUCGACAUGACUUCCUGUACAGAUUUCUAAUCCUAAACCUACCAAGUUACUCACUUACAGGAUCUUGUCAACGUUGUGUAUCACUUUGUUUGUUAACAUGAAUUUUCUCAUGAGUUGCUUUUCUGUUGCUGUAUGAAGUAAAUCAUCUCUUUUGCUUUGUUUCCUGCUUUAAUCGUGACGGUCUUUGAUAAUUUUUGAGCAUUAAGUGGACGCUUUGCAUUUGUUGAGAGCUCUGCUGGAUUUACAGCAAGAAUGAGUCAAACUUCUCUGUUAAAUCAUGAAUGUUCUGUCGUUAACGUCAUGUUGUAAUGUCGACGGUUAUAAAUGUUUAUGGUCAUAUUAAAACCUUGAAUUUUUCUUUUA
This is a long non-coding RNA of Stegastes partitus (bicolor damselfish), 2113 nucleotides long. RefSeq lists it as uncharacterized. NCBI's taxonomy places the organism in Eukaryota, Metazoa, Chordata, Actinopteri, Pomacentridae. The transcript has 2 exons. The record is from RefSeq and is a predicted model, not a curated record.